This is a small nuclear RNA of Cavia porcellus (domestic guinea pig), 106 nucleotides long. The record is from Ensembl. NCBI's taxonomy places the organism in Eukaryota, Metazoa, Chordata, Mammalia, Rodentia, Caviidae.
GUGCUUGACUUGGCAGCAUGUAUACUAACAGUGAGAUGACACAAGAAGUUUGGCAUGGUCCCUGUAGAAGGGUGACACAUAAAUUCCUAAAGCAUUCCAUAUUUUA